RNAcentral lists this ribosomal RNA (1349 nucleotides) under metagenome. RNAcentral's name for it is "bacterial LSU rRNA". It matches the Rfam family "Bacterial large subunit ribosomal RNA", at positions 1564 to 2925 of the family's 2925-position model. The record is from RNAcentral.
UGAGUACGAGCUGCUACGGCAGCGAAGUGGGUGAUGUCAUGCUUCCAAGAAAAGCCCUAUACCCGUUAAGGCAUGAUGGCCUGUACCCGAAACCGACACAGGUGGGGUGGUAGAGAAUACCGAGGGGCGCGAGGUAACUCUCUCUAAGGAACUCGGCAAAAUGGCCCCGUAACUUCGGGAGAAGGGGUGCCACCGCAAGGUGGUCGCAGUGAAGAGGCCCAGGCGACUGUUUACCAAAAACACAGGUCUCCGCUAAGUCGCAAGACGAUGUAUGGGGGCUGACGCCCGCCCAGUGCCUGAAGGUUAAGGAAGCUGGUCAGCGUAAGCGAAGCUAGCGACUGAAGCCCCGGUGAACGGCGGCCAUAACUAUAACGGUCCUAAGGUAGCGAGAUUCCUUGUCGGGUAAGUUCCGACCCGCACGAAAGGCGUAACGAUCUGGGCGCUGUCUCGGAGAGAGGCUCGGCGAAAUAGAAUUGUCUGUGAAGAUGCGGACUACGUGCACCCGGACAGAAAGACCCUAUGAAGCUUUACUGUAGCUUGGUAUUGUGCUCGGGCUCGGAAUGCGCAGGAUAGGUGGGAGGCUAUGAACCAUUGCUUGUGGGUGAUGGUGAGCCACUGGUGAGAUACCACUCUUUCCGAGCUAGAGUUCUAACAGCCACCCGUUAUCCGGGGGCUGGACAGUAUCAGGUGGGCAGUUUGACUGGGGCGGUCGCCUCCUAAAAGGUAACGGAGGCGCGCAAAGGUUUGCUCAGGCUGGUUGGAAAUCAGCCGACGAGUGUAAAAGCAGAAGCAAGCUUGACUGUGAGACCUACAAGUCGAACAGGGAGGAAACUCGGCUUUAGUGAUCCGACGGUUCUGCGUGGAAGGGCCGUCGCUCAACGGAUAAAAGUUACUCUAAGGAUAACAGGCUGAUCUCCCCCAAGAGUUCACAUCGACGGGGAGGUUCGGCACCUCGAUGUCGGCUCAUCGCAACCUGGGGCUGAAGUCGGUCCCAAGGGUUGGGCUGUUCGCCCAUUAAAGCGGUACGCGAGCUGGGUUCAGAACGUCGUGAGACAGUUCGGUCCAUAUCCGGUGCAUGCGCAGGAAUAUUGAGAGGAUUUCUCCCUAGUACGAGAGGACCGGGAGGAACGCACCUCUGGUGUACCAGUUAUCGUGCCAACGGUAAACGCUGGGUAGCCAUGUGCGGAGAGGAUAACCGCUGAAAGCAUCUAAGUGGGAAGCCCACCUCAAGAUGAGUAUUCCCAUGGGGUAACCCAGUAAGGUCACGGGAAGAACACCCGUUGAUAGGCUCUACGUGGAAGCGCAGUAAUGUGUGAAGCGGAGGAGUACUAAUAGACCGAGGGCUUGAC